AGGAUGUGGGAUUUCGAAGACAACUAGGAUGUUGGCUUAGAAGCAGCCAUACAUUUAAAGAGUGCGUAACAGCUCACUAGUCGAGAAAACCUGCGCCGAAAAUAAACGGGGCUAAAACAUACCACCGAAGCUACGGAUUUCCUAUGGAAGUAGGAAGUGGUAGAGGAGCAUAGUGCAGUAGGAAGAAGUCAAAGCGAAAGCGAUGAUGGACGAGGCAGUAGAGAGAAUGCCGGAAUGAGUAGCGAGAUAGAAGAAAGAAACUUCUAGGCCGAAUAUCUAAGGAUUCCUGGGUAAAGCUAAACUUCCCAGGGUAAGUCGGGACCUAAGGCGAGGACGAAAGUCGUAGUCGAUGGAUAACUGGUAGAGAUUCCAGUACUACAAAUAAUCAGAACUGUGGGGACGCAGGAGGAUAAGUAAACCGGGGAGAGGAAAGACCCGGUCAAGCAUAAAGGCAUGGUAAAUAGGAAAAACCGUUUAUCUAAGCUGAAAUGUGAAGAGGACUGAAAAAGAGUAAGGAAGUUACUGAAUCCACACUGUCGAGAAAAGCCGCUAUAGCGUUAUUUGUACCCGUACCGUAAACCGACACAGGUAGAUGAGGAGAAAAUCCACAGGCUGACGGGAGAAGUGUUGUUAAGGAACUCGGCAAAAUGACCCCGUAACUUAGGGAAAAGGGGAACCAACGAGAGUUGGUCGCAGAAAAGAGGCUCAAGCGACUGUUUAGCAAAAACACAGGUCUCUGCGAAACCGAAAGGUGAAGUAUAGGGGCUGACACCUGCCCGGUGCUGGAAGGUUAAAAGGAGAGGUAAGGCGCAAGCUGAAGCUUUGAAUUCAAGCCCCAGUAAACGGCGGCCGUAACUAUAACGGUCCUAAGGUAGCGAAAUUCCUUGUCAGGUAAGUUCUGACCCGCACGAAAGGUGUAACGAUUUGAGCACUGUCUCGACAACACGCCCGGUGAAAUUGAAGAACCAGUGAAGAUACUGGUUACCCGCAACAGGACGGAAAGACCCCAUGGAGCUUUACUGCAGCCUGAUACUGGGAUUCGAUGAUAUAUGUACAGGAUAGGAGGGAGGCUGAGAAGCCAGGACGCCAGUCUUGGUGGAGCCGCCGGUGGGAUACCUCUCUUAUGUCAUUGGGUUUCUAACCAGUACCCAUUAUCUGGGUAUGGGACAAUGUCAGGCGGGCAGUUUGACUGGGGCGGUCGCCUCCUAAAAGGUAACGGAGGCGCUCGAAGGUCACCUCAGAAUGAUUGGAAACCAUUCAAAGAGUGUAAAGGCAAAAGGUGGCUUGACUGCGACACCGACGGGUGGAGCAGGUACGAAAGUAGGACUUAGUGAUC
Molecule: ribosomal RNA, 1336 nt
Filed under: mouse gut metagenome
Description: bacterial LSU rRNA
Rfam family: Bacterial large subunit ribosomal RNA
Source: RNAcentral